Molecule: ribosomal RNA, 497 nt
Filed under: uncultured bacterium
Lineage: Bacteria
Description: partial 16S ribosomal RNA
Rfam family: Bacterial small subunit ribosomal RNA
Source: RNAcentral
GAUGAACGCUGGCGGCGUGCCUAAUACAUGCAAGUCGAGCGAACAGAUGAGGAGCUUGCUCCUCUGACGUUAGCGGCGGACGGGUGAGUAACACGUGGAUAACCUACCUAUAAGACUGGGAUAACUUCGGGAAACCGGAGCUAAUACCGGAUAAUAUAUUGAACCGCAUGGUUCAAUAGUGAAAGACGGUUUUGCUGUCACUUAUAGAUGGAUCCGCGCCGCAUUAGCUAGUUGGUAAGGUAACGGCUUACCAAGGCAACGAUGCGUAGCCGACCUGAGAGGGUGAUCGGCCACACUGGAACUGAGACACGGUCCAGACUCCUACGGGAGGCUGCAGUAGGGAAUCUUCCGCAAUGGGCGAAAGCCUGACGGGGCAACGCCGCGUGAGUGAUGAAGGUCUUCGGAUCGUAAAACUCUGUUAUUAGGGAAGAACAAAUGUGUAAGUAACUAUGCACGUCUUGACGGUACCUAAUCAGAAAGCCACGGCUAACUACGUG